Long non-coding RNA from Saccostrea cuccullata (small rock oyster), 619 nucleotides. RefSeq lists it as uncharacterized. NCBI's taxonomy places the organism in Eukaryota, Metazoa, Mollusca, Bivalvia, Ostreida, Ostreidae. The record is from RefSeq and is a predicted model, not a curated record. The transcript is spliced from 4 exons.
AUUACAAAAGAGUCGAGGUGAGAAGUAUUCACGCCAAAAGUGAUCAAACUUGUGGACAGGAGAAAGCGAAAUUGACAGAAGAUUCAUUUCUGCAAGAGCCCAACAAUAGCACAAUUUCAACUUAACUGACCUAUUUUUUUUUUCAAAAUUAAAAUGCAGUAUAUAAGCACUGUUUCCAAAGUGAUAUGUCUUUGCUUCCUCUUUGUUUGCGCUACUAAUGGAAGACAACUGGAUAGUCGAAGGGUUCGGAGACAAUCUGCCGAUGUGAGAGCCUCCGAAUACUUUGCCCUAAUGACACUACUGAACAAAUGUCAGACUGCAAUUGGAUGCGGCCUUGUUGAUUUAGUAAAAAGCGGAAAGAGGAAAAGAACAGAGAACAAUUCUCCGAAAGGGCAGCAUUCUCUGAGGAUAAUCCAUUUACUGCUCCCAAAGGAGCAAUAAAGGUCAACAGAUGAGCCUGCGUCCUAAUAGGAUGACACCAUAAUUAACGUAUUUACUGUCCAUUUUCUUUGGAGACAUUGAUCUCGGCGCAUGCAGUAUUUCCUGCAAUUGUUAUUUUUGUAUAGACAUUUCUCAUUAGACCUUGAAAGUAAAAUUUAAUUAAAAGUCAUUUUGGAUC